CUGUAACAUGAGGUCCGAUAGUGUUCUCAGGGCACGUCAGGAUACCUCCUGGCAAUAUGUUUAUAAAUAGUCUUCAGCUUCUCCUUUGUUUUUUUUGUUUUUUUUUUUUGAGAUGGAGUCUCGCUCUGUCACCAAGGCUGGAGUGCAGUGGUGCAAUCUUGGCUCACUGCAACCUCUGCUUCCCGGGUUCAACGAUUCUCCUGCCUCAGCUUCCUGAGUAGCUGGGAUUACAGGCAUCCACCACCAUGCCCAGCUGAUUUUUUUAUUUUUAGUAGAGAUGGAGUUUCACCAUGUUGGCCAGGCUGGUCUCGAACUCCUGACCUCAUGUGAUCCACCCACCUUGACCUCCCAAAUUGCUAGGAUUACAGGCAUGAGCCACGUCACCCAGCCUCAGCUUCUCCCUUUAAAAUCUUUUUUUGAUGUGUUUCUCUAAGAUGUUCCUGAUAUAUACAUGUUCCUUUGAAUUCACUGACUUUCCACAUUGCAUCUCUUCUAAUUCUGAAACUUUUUAUUCUUCCAUGCCAUGGAUUUCCCCUAAUUCUCCUGAUCAGUAUUGUCCAUUUAAUAUAAUCAAUGUGCUGACUGUCUGGGCCAUUUCUGUUCUGCUCUGUGAACAAAGGAAACAUUUUGUACCCCUGAGCCCUGUAGUGUCACAGAGAUCUCAAAGAGGAGACCAUCUGAGGACUGCCUACCUGCCCUGCACAGCCAUGUCUUCUGCUUGUACAUCGUGGGGAAGGAGAGAACCCUUGAGGU
RNAcentral lists this long non-coding RNA (753 nucleotides) under Homo sapiens (human). RNAcentral describes it as "HSALNT0316412". Lineage: Eukaryota; Metazoa; Chordata; Mammalia; Primates; Hominidae. The record is from RNAcentral.